RNAcentral lists this unclassified non-coding RNA (382 nucleotides) under uncultured Verrucomicrobiae bacterium. RNAcentral's name for it is "contains 16S-23S intergenic spacer region". The record is from RNAcentral. Lineage: Bacteria; Pseudomonadati; Verrucomicrobiota; Verrucomicrobiia.
UCCGGUUCAACACCGGCAGUCUUCCUAGAGUCCUCGACAUAACUCGUUAGUAACUAAGAACAAGGGUUGCGCUCGUUACGGGACUUAACCCAACAUCUCACGACACGAGCUGACGACAGCCAUGCAGCACCUGUGCAAGCUGGUAUUGCUACCUCGUCAGACUUUCAUCCUUCUACUACUUGCAUGUCAAGGCCAGGUAAGGUUCUUCGCGUUGCAUCGAAUUAAGCCACAUACUCCACCGCUUGUGCAGGCCCCCGUCAAUUUCUUUGAGUUUUAAUCUUGCGACCGUACUUCCCAGGCGGCACGUUUAUCGCGUUGGCUACGCUACAAGUGGGGUCGAUUCCACUUACAGCAAACGUGCACCGUUUACAGCUAGGACUAC